Molecule: RNase P RNA, 384 nt
Filed under: Acidimicrobiales bacterium
Lineage: Bacteria; Bacillati; Actinomycetota; Acidimicrobiia; Acidimicrobiales
Also listed under: 1 other name
Description: RNase P RNA component class A
Rfam family: Bacterial RNase P class A
About the family: Ribonuclease P (RNase P) is a ubiquitous endoribonuclease, found in archaea, bacteria and eukarya as well as chloroplasts and mitochondria. Its best characterised activity is the generation of mature 5'-ends of tRNAs by cleaving the 5'-leader elements of precursor-tRNAs. Cellular RNase Ps are ribonucleoproteins.
Source: RNAcentral
UGAGCCGGCCGGGUGGUCGCGGCACGGGCGGACGGGUCACCCCUUUCCGGACCGUGUCGAGGAAGGUCGGGGCUCCGCAGGGCAGGGUGCUGGCUAACGGCCAGUCGGGGUGACCCGCAGGACAGUGCCACAGAGAACAGACCGCCGAUGGCCGGAUCCCCGAUCCGGCACAGGUAAGGGUGAAACGGUGCGGUAAGAGCGCACCAGCGGCCGGGGCAACCCGGUCGGCUCGGUAAACCCCACCCGGAGCAAGGUCGAACAGGGGGCUCGGGCGGCCCGUCCGGCACACCACGGUGUGCCACCCCCAGGUGGACCGCGUAGAUGGAUGACCACCGCCCCUCGUCAGAGGGUGCACAGAACCCCGCCUACAGGCCGGCUCACCGU